This 252-nucleotide ribosomal RNA is filed under the name uncultured bacterium. RNAcentral's name for it is "partial 16S ribosomal RNA". It matches the Rfam family "Bacterial small subunit ribosomal RNA", at positions 524 to 776 of the family's 1533-position model. The record is from RNAcentral.
UACGGAGGGAGCUAGCGUUGUUCGGAAUUACUGGGCGUAAAGCGCACGUAGGCGCUAUUCAAGUCGGGUGUGAAAGCCCCGGGCUCAACCUGGGGAAUUGCAUUCGAGACUGAAUAGCUAGGGUACGGUAGAGGGAAGUGGAAUUUCCGGUGUAGCGGUGAAAUGCGUAGAUAUCGGAAGGAACAUCAGUGGCGAAAGCGACUUCCUGGACCAGUACCGACGUCAGGCACGAAAGCGUGGGGAGCAAACAGG